GAUGAAGAACGUAGUGAAAUGCGAUAAGUAAUGUGAAUUGCAGAAUUCAGUGAAUCAGCGAAUCUUUGAACGCACAUUGCGCCCGCCAGUAUUCUGGCGGGCAUGCCUGUUCGAGCGUCAUUACAACCCUCAGGCCCCCGGGCCUGGCGUUGGGGAUCGGCGGAGCCCCCCGUGGGCACACGCCGUCCCCCAAAUACAGUGGCGGUCCCGCCGCAGCUUCCAUCGCGUAGUAGCUAACACCUCGCGACUGGAGAGCGGCGCGGCCACGCCGUAAAACACCCAACUCUUCUGAAGUUGACCUCGAAUCAGGUAGGAAUACCCGCUGAACUUAAGCAUAUCAAUAAGCGGAGGA
Molecule: unclassified non-coding RNA, 352 nt
Filed under: soil metagenome
Description: partial contains 5.8S ribosomal RNA, internal transcribed spacer 2, and large subunit ribosomal RNA
Rfam family: 5.8S ribosomal RNA (bases 1-120)
Source: RNAcentral